UACAGAGGGGGCAAGCGUUGUUCGGAAUUACUGGGCGUAAAGGGCGCGUAGGUGGCCUUCUAAGUUGAACGUGAAAUCCCUGGGCUCAACCCAGGAACUGCGUCCAAGACUGGGAGGCUUGAAUCCGGGAGAGGGAUGCGGAAUUCCUGGUGUAGCGGUGAAAUGCGCAGAUAUCAGGAAGAACACCUAUGGCGAAGGCAGCUCUCUGGGACGGUACUGACGCUGAGACGCGAAAGCGUGGGGAGCGAACAGG
This 253-nucleotide ribosomal RNA is filed under the name uncultured bacterium. RNAcentral's name for it is "partial 16S ribosomal RNA". It matches the Rfam family "Bacterial small subunit ribosomal RNA", at positions 524 to 776 of the family's 1533-position model. The record is from RNAcentral.